This 446-nucleotide ribosomal RNA is filed under the name uncultured bacterium. Its description in RNAcentral is "partial 16S ribosomal RNA". It matches the Rfam family "Bacterial small subunit ribosomal RNA", at positions 338 to 795 of the family's 1533-position model. The record is from RNAcentral.
CCUACGGGGGACAGCAGUCGAGAAUCAUUCACAAUGGGGGAAACCCUGAUGGUGCGACGCCGCGUGGGGGAAUGAAGGUCUUCGGAUUGUAAACCCCUGUCAUGUGGGAGCAAAUUAAAAAGAUAGUACCACAAGAGGAAGAGACGGCUAACUCUGUGCCAGCAGCCGCGGUAAUACAGAGGUCUCAAGCGUUGUUCGGAAUCACUGGGCGUAAGGCGUGCGUAGGCUGUUUCGUAAGUCGUGUGUGAAAGGCGCGGGCUCAACCCGCGGACGGCACAUGAUACUGCGAGACUAGAGUAAUGGAGGGGGAACCGGAAUUCUCGGUGGAGCAGUGAAAUGCGUAGAUAUCGAGAGGAACACUCGUGGCGAAGGCGGGUUCCUGGACAUUAACUGACGCUGAGGCACGAAGGCCAGGGGAGCGAAAGGGAUUAGAUACCCGUGUAGUC